CAGCAGCCGCGGGAAUACGUAGGUGGCAAGCGUUGUCCGGAUUUAUUGGGCGUAAAGCGAGCGCAGGCGGUUCCUUAAGUCUGAUGUGAAAGCCCCCGGCUCAACCGGGGAGGGUCAUUGGAAACUGGGGAACUUGAGUGCAGAAGAGGAGAGUGGAAUUCCAUGUGUAGCGGUGAAAUGCGUAGAUAUAUGGAGGAACACCAGUGGCGAAAGCGGCUCUCUGGCCUGUAACUGACGCUGAGGCUCGAAAGCGUGGGGAGCAAACAGGAUUAGAUACCCCCGUAGUCCCUGUCUCUUAUAC
Molecule: ribosomal RNA, 301 nt
Filed under: uncultured bacterium
Lineage: Bacteria
Description: partial 16S ribosomal RNA
Rfam family: Bacterial small subunit ribosomal RNA
Source: RNAcentral